RNAcentral lists this ribosomal RNA (363 nucleotides) under uncultured bacterium. Its description in RNAcentral is "bacterial SSU rRNA". It matches the Rfam family "Bacterial small subunit ribosomal RNA", at positions 331 to 692 of the family's 1533-position model. The record is from RNAcentral.
CCAGACUCCUACGGGAGGCAGCAGUGAGGAAUAUUGGUCAAUGGCCGAAGGGCUGAACCAGCUAAGCCGCGUGAAGGAAUAAGGCCCUACGGGUCGUAAACUUCUUUAGUCAGGGAACAAAGGGUGCCACGCGUGGCGCUGUGAGUGUACCUGAAGAAUAAGCAUCGGCUAACUCCGUGCCAGCAGCCGCGGUAAUACGGAGGAUGCGAGCGUUAUCCGGAUUUAUUGGGUUUAAAGGGUGCGUAGGCGGACUGGAAAGUCAGCGGUAAAAUCGGGAGGCGCAACCUCUUUCCGCCGUUGAAACUGUCGGUCUUGAGUGGGCGAGAAGUAUGCGGAAUGCGUGGUGUAGCGGUGAAAUGCAUA